AUCGCUUCUCGACCUUUUGGCUAAGAUCAAGUGUAGUAACUUUACCCUUUAAAGGCACAAUUUACAUUUGUAAAAUAUUUACAAAUAAAAUAUGCCUGAAAUUUGCUUCAAAAUACUAU
Molecule: small nuclear RNA, 119 nt
Filed under: Lynx canadensis (Canada lynx)
Lineage: Eukaryota; Metazoa; Chordata; Mammalia; Carnivora; Felidae
Description: U2 spliceosomal RNA (ENSLCNG00005021420.1)
Rfam family: U2 spliceosomal RNA
About the family: U2 is a small nuclear RNA (snRNA) component of the spliceosome (involved in pre-mRNA splicing). Complementary binding between U2 snRNA (in an area lying towards the 5' end but 3' to hairpin I) and the branchpoint sequence (BPS) of the intron results the bulging out of an unpaired adenosine, on the BPS, which initiates a nucleophilic attack at the intronic 5' splice site, thus starting the first of two transesterification reactions that mediate splicing.
Source: Rfam by way of RNAcentral